ACGGGUGAGUAGUGCAUAGGGAUCUACCUUGUGGACUGGGAUAACUUGAGGAAACUUAAGCUAAUACCGGGUAAGCUCUAGGGAGGAAAGUGUGGGACAGGCGACUGCCACACGUCAUAAGAUGAACCUAUGUCGGAUUAGCUAGUUGGUGAGGUAAGGGCUUACCAAGGCUAUGAUCCGUAGCUGGUCUGAGAGGACGGACAGCCACACUGGGACUGAGACACGGCCCAGACUCCUACGGGAGGCAGCAGUGGGGAAUAUUGGACAAUGGGGGCAACCCUGAUCCAGCGAUGCCGCGUGUGCGAAGAAGGCCUGUGGGUUGUAAAGCACUUUGGUUGGGGAAGAAGUGGCGAAGUCGAAGAGGCUUUGUUAUUGACGUUACCCAAGAAACAAGCACCGGCUAACUCUGUGCCAGCAGCCGCGGUAAUACAGAGGGUGCAAGCGUUAAUCGGAAUUACUGGGCGUAAAGGGCGCGUAGGCGGUAAAUUAGGUUAGAGGUGAAAUUCCUGGGCUCAACCUGGGCAUUGCCACUAAGACUGAUUUGCUAGAGUAGGGUAGAGGGAAGUGGAAUUUCCGGU
RNAcentral lists this ribosomal RNA (578 nucleotides) under uncultured bacterium. RNAcentral's name for it is "bacterial SSU rRNA". It matches the Rfam family "Bacterial small subunit ribosomal RNA", at positions 102 to 674 of the family's 1533-position model. The record is from RNAcentral.